GCUCCCGUGGCGCAAUUGGAAGACGCGACAGACUUAAAAUCUGUUUUGCUGUGAGUUCGAGUCUCACCGGGAGUA
This 75-nucleotide transfer RNA is filed under the name Leptolyngbya valderiana BDU 20041. Its description in RNAcentral is "tRNA-Leu". It matches the Rfam family "tRNA". From Rfam's summary of the family: Transfer RNA (tRNA) molecules are approximately 80 nucleotides in length. Their secondary structure includes four short double-helical elements and three loops (D, anti-codon, and T loops). RNAcentral also lists the same sequence under 2 other names. The record is from RNAcentral. Lineage: Bacteria; Bacillati; Cyanobacteriota; Cyanophyceae; Leptolyngbyales; Leptolyngbyaceae.